RNAcentral lists this unclassified non-coding RNA (21 nucleotides) under Mus musculus (house mouse). RNAcentral's name for it is "oocyte_clustered_small_RNA4304". The record is from RNAcentral. Lineage: Eukaryota; Metazoa; Chordata; Mammalia; Rodentia; Muridae.
UGCAGCAAGACCAACAUUGGU